CGUAGUUGGAUUUCUACCUAUUUUGCCCGUUCCGGAUGAUAUUCAUCGUUCGGUAAUGGAGCUGAAGUGGGUAUCCUAUCAUGAAGUUGCGGCCUCGUGUCGUCGCUGAGUGGUUCUUUUACUUUGAAAAAAUUAGAGUGUUUAAAGCAGGCUUGCGCAAGAAUACAUUAGCAUGGAAUAAUAACAUAGGACUUUGGUCUCUAUUUUGUUGGUUUCUAGGACUAAAGUAAUGA
This 233-nucleotide ribosomal RNA is filed under the name uncultured eukaryote. RNAcentral describes it as "partial 18S ribosomal RNA". It matches the Rfam family "Eukaryotic small subunit ribosomal RNA", at positions 629 to 868 of the family's 1831-position model. The record is from RNAcentral.